This 65-nucleotide transfer RNA is filed under the name Pseudocolaspis sp. EMHAU-15071004. RNAcentral describes it as "tRNA-Glu". Lineage: Eukaryota; Metazoa; Arthropoda; Insecta; Coleoptera; Chrysomelidae. The record is from RNAcentral.
AUUUAUUUAGUUUAUAUAAAACAUUACAUUUUCAUUGUAAAAUUAGAUUAAUAUUCUAAUAAAUA